ACCUACGGGGGGCAGCAGUAGGGAAUUUUCGUCAAUGGGCGCAAGCCUGAACGAGCAAUGCCGCGUGAACGAGGAAGGUCUUCGGAUCGUAAAGUUCUGUUGAAGGGGAAAAAGAGCGGAGAGAGGAAAUGGUCUCCGAUUGAUAUUACCCUUCGAGGAAGUCACGGCUAACUACGUGCCAGCAGCCGCGGUAAUACGUAGGUGGCGGGCGUUAUCCGGAAUGAUUGGGCGUAAAGGGUGCGUAGGCGGCCUGCUAAGUCUGGAGUGAAAGGUACCGGCUCAACCGGUACAGGCUCUGGAAACUG
RNAcentral lists this ribosomal RNA (305 nucleotides) under uncultured bacterium. RNAcentral describes it as "bacterial SSU rRNA". It matches the Rfam family "Bacterial small subunit ribosomal RNA", at positions 337 to 635 of the family's 1533-position model. The record is from RNAcentral.